This 1276-nucleotide ribosomal RNA is filed under the name Arthrobacter psychrochitiniphilus. RNAcentral's name for it is "partial 16S ribosomal RNA". The record is from RNAcentral. Lineage: Bacteria; Bacillati; Actinomycetota; Actinomycetes; Micrococcales; Micrococcaceae.
UGACCAUGAUUACGAAUUCGAGCUCGGUACCCGGGGAUCCUCUAGAGAUUGGUUACCUUGUUACGACUUAGUCCCAAUCGCCAGUCCCACCUUCGACAGCUCCCUCCCCACAAGGGGGUUAGGCCACCGGCUUCGGGUGUUACCAACUUUCGUGACUUGACGGGCGGUGUGUACAAGGCCCGGGAACGUAUUCACCGCAGCGUUGCUGAUCUGCGAUUACUAGCGACUCCGUCUUCAUGGGGUCGAGUUGCAGACCCCAAUCCGAACUGAGACCGGCUUUUUGGGAUUAGCUCCACCUCACAGUAUCGCAACCCAUUGUACCGGCCAUUGUAGCAUGCGUGAAGCCCAAGACAUAAGGGGCAUGAUGAUUUGACGUCGUCCUCACCUUCCUCCGAGUUGACCCCGGCAGUCUCCUAUGAGUCCCCACCAUAACGUUGCUGGCAACAUAGAACGAGUGUUGCGCUCGUUGCGGGACUUAACCCAACAUCUCACGACACGAGCUGACGACAACCAUGCACCAACUGUAAACCGACCGCAAGCGGGGCACCUGUUUCCAGGUAUUUCCAGUUCAUGUCAAGCCUUGGUAAGGUUCUUCGCGUUGCAUCGAAUUAAUCCGCAUGCUCCGCCGCUUGUGCGGGCCCCCGUCAAUUCCUUUGAGUUUUAGCCUUGCGGCCGUACUCCCCAGGCGGGGCACUUAAUGCGUUAGCUACGGCGCGGAAAACGUAGAAUGCCCCCCACACCUAGUGCCCAACGUUUACGGCAUGGACUACCAGGGUAUCUAAUCCUGUUCGCUCCCCAUGCUUUCGCUCMUCAGCGUCAGUUAAUGCCCAGAGACCUGCCUUCGCCAUCGGUGUUCCUCCUGAUAUCUGCGCAUUUCACCGCUACACCAGGAAUUCCAGUCUCCCCUACAUCACUCUAGUCUGCCCGUACCCACCGCAGAUCCGGAGUUGAGCCCCGGACUUUCACGGCAGACGCGACAAACCGCCUACGAGCUCUUUACGCCCAAUAAUUCCGGAUAACGCUUGCGCCCUACGUAUUACCGCGGCUGCUGGCACGUAGUUAGCCGGCGCUUCUUCUGCAAGUACCCUCAGCCAACAAAAAUGCUGGCCUUGUUCCCUACUGAAAGAGGUUUACAACCCGAAGGCCGUCAUCCCUCACGCAGCGUCGCUGCAUCAGGCUUUCGCCCAUUGUGCAAUAUUCCCCACUGCUGCCUCCCGUAGGAGUCUGGGCCGUGUCUCAGUCCCAGUGUGGCCGGUCACCCUCUCAGGCCGGCUAA